GUAGGUGGCAAGCGUUGUCCGGAAUUAUUGGGCGUAAAGCGCGCGCAGGCGGUUCUUUAAGUCUGAUGUGAAAGCCCACGGCUCAACCGUGGAGGGUCAUUGGAAACUGGAGAACUUGAGUACAGAAGAGGAAAGCGGAAUUCCACGUGUAGCGGUGAAAUGCGUAGAGAUGUGGAGGAACACCAGUGGCGAAGGCGGCUUUCUGGUCUGUAACUGACGCUGAGGCGCGAAAGGGUGGGGAGCAAACAGGGAUUAGAUACCCUGGUAGUCCACGCCGUAAACGAUGAGUGCUAAGUGUUAGGGGGGUUUCCGCCCCCUUAGUGCUGCAGCUAACGCAUUAAGCACUCCGCCUGGGGAGUACGGCCGCAAGGCUG
This 374-nucleotide ribosomal RNA is filed under the name uncultured organism. Its description in RNAcentral is "partial 16S ribosomal RNA". It matches the Rfam family "Bacterial small subunit ribosomal RNA", at positions 527 to 896 of the family's 1533-position model. The record is from RNAcentral.